This 253-nucleotide ribosomal RNA is filed under the name uncultured bacterium. RNAcentral's name for it is "partial 16S ribosomal RNA". It matches the Rfam family "Bacterial small subunit ribosomal RNA", at positions 524 to 776 of the family's 1533-position model. The record is from RNAcentral.
UACGAAGGACCCGAGCGUUAUCCGGAUUUAUUGGGUUUAAAGGGUGCGUAGGCGGAUUAUUAAGUCAGUGGUGAAAGCCUACAGCUUAACUGUAGAAUUGCCAUUGAUACUGAUGAUCUUGAGUAUGAUUGAGGUGGGCGGAAUGUGUCAUGUAGCGGUGAAAUGCUUAGAUAUGACACAGAACACCGAUUGCGAAGGCAGCUCACUAAGUCAUAACUGACGCUGAUGCACGAAAGCGUGGGGAGCAAACAGG